This is a non-coding RNA of Pisolithus tinctorius, 73 nucleotides long. Lineage: Eukaryota; Fungi; Basidiomycota; Agaricomycetes; Boletales; Pisolithaceae. The record is from the annotation of a GenBank genome assembly.
GAUCAUAUAGCUCAGUGGUUAGACCACAAGGUCAACACCCAGGAGACUACUGGUUCAAUUCCACCUUUAGUCA